Molecule: non-coding RNA, 2799 nt
Organism: Danio rerio (zebrafish)
Lineage: Eukaryota; Metazoa; Chordata; Actinopteri; Cypriniformes; Danionidae
Source: RefSeq, a predicted model, not a curated record
CUGUGUGUUCCAGGCCCACUGCACUCUCGGUCUAAUUUCUCUUUCUUCUUCUCCCUGCCCAUUGAAAAGGGGAAAGGUUUUUGUGGUUUUCUGGAGAAAUAAAGAACUUCUUAAAGAGGUCGGCAGACGUGACUUUGAACUUGGAUCAGAUCCUGUGUUUCCUGUGGAGAGGGUAGAAAUAGUCUUGGAAGAAUGGUACAUAACGUUCAAACAGUAUGGCUGUGAGCUGAGGAACACAGAAUUCCCAAAGUUUUAUAAGUCGUCCGCUCUAUUAUUUACAGCUUUAAGCGUAGAAAAGAGAGGAAAGCCGGAGUGCGUUGAACGGGACUCUGGGGGACUUAGAGUCAAUGAAAUUGCAGCAGAAGGUGUCACCUUCAUCGGACCCGACACACAUGCUACUCAAACCAUGGGAGACAAGAUCAGGGGCAAAUUAAUCGCCAAGAUGCCAAGGUCAGUGUCGUGCCCCCGUGAGCGUGGGCUGGUCAAGGUGAGGAGAGCUUCACACGCACCACAAACACACAUCCAUUCUUUCUGCCACCUCAAAUGACUCAUCUGACGUCUGACAAACCGUCACGGGGCAUCGGGACUGAUGUGUGUGUUUAUAAAGACGAGGUGUUGUCAGUUGGCUGUCAGCUCAGGGAAUGUUUUUUUGAUAUGUUGCCACUUUUGAAAAUUUGUACCUCCCAUGGAAUGAAAUACAGGAAGUUGCUGUUUUGCAGACAUAAGUGUGUGUGUGUGUGUGUGUGGUGGAAAGGGCUGUUGCUAAUGAGGGAUGUUUUGAAAACAUUUAAAGCCCUAAUGAUGCUGCUGCAAAUGCAAACCCUCUUCCGGGAGCUGUGAUUUAAGAUGGUUUGAGGCUGUGGAAAAAUAGUUUCACCCAAUUUAAGUCUUGCGUUCCUGUUGUUAAAAUAUUGGGGUUAGAGGCUAACACGUAGAUGAGGAGGUGAACAACCCUGUGGUGUGUGUACUAAAACUCUUUCAAUAACAGCUCUGCAAAUUCUCAAAUCUCCAUUUUGUCCCUAAAGUACUUAAUUGUCUGCAUUUGGCAAGUUUAACACUUCCUGACAUGAGGGGCCUUACUUGAAUGUCUUUGCAUGACUAUAAAUGAAUGGGAAUAAAAGGAAUGAACAAACACACACACACAUAAGCAUGCAUGCAAAUCUAUUCGAAAUCCAUAGUGACCAAAUUAAGCAUGCCAAGAGAAAAUUUCCCACCGAGAAAUUUUGAGAUUUUAGCUGUGUCUAGUUCUGUCCGCCAGCCAAUUUUCCAUCAGGAAUCUCUCAUUAGCAGAUGUUUUUGGCCACAACACACACACACCUCAGUGUGAUCUGGUGAACCCUAAAUUUAACAAGCGCUUACCAGAGCAGACGAGUUAAUGAAAGGAAAUUACCUUUUCUGCCAAUUUCCCCCUUCCAUUCAGGUGCUUUUUACUUGGCAAUUUAAAAUGACAGAUACUUGUUUUUUAUACUAAAUAAACUGAUAAAUCUUUCCAGCGUUUCAUUAUAUCCGGUAAGUGCAUGAGUCAGAUAUUAACUGCUCUCCAUUGAUGGCGUGCUCCUUGCAGACCCUAAAGCGUCUGUUUAAUUCCCUGAAAGUGAGAUGCAAUUUUUAUUUCACUCUCACAUCAUUUGUCCUCAAAAUUACUUUUCACAAUCCUAGCCUCCGUUAUCAACUAAAACUGCAAUCUGUUUGCUUAGUCUCUUUAGAAGACGGCGAUACGGGAUGAAGUUUAUUUACACCGCUGUCAUCUGUUCCCUGCAUAGCAACCAAAGACAAUGAUUUCCACAUAAGGGCAGUGGGGAGACAGUGUGGAGAGGAGGAUCGGGUAGACGGCCCCUCCAGAGCCUGCUGAAGUGAAGCCGCGGUUGGGUAUGUUGGCCAGUCUCGCCCGGCCGCCCCGCAGCAGUAAAGCAGUCUGGAUCAUACGUCACGAGCUGAGGUCUGUUAUGGAGGCCAGUGGCGAGACGGAAAAGCCAUUCGGGAGAGCCAAUCCUACAGAUACAGCUGCUGCUUUUCCUGCAAAUACACGUUUACAAAUUAGCACUUCUCACAGGCCUGGGACCUGCUUUUACGGAGCUGGGUUUUCAGAGCAGCCUGAAAGUGUGAACGAGUUCCAGAGGGCAGAUCAUUUGGAGGAGUCUGGAUAAUGAGAUUCUUUUCUUAAUGCCAUUGAACUCCAUUCAAUUAGUGCAAAGGGCCUAUGUUUGUGACUAUUGCGUGCGUACAGUGUGCUUCUGUGUGUAAUUGACUUUGUAAGCCCUUGAGGAGUAAACUUUUAGUGGUUUCGAGCAUUCGCUUGAGCACAAGUAUGUUUGUCUAUUCUUUUUUUUUCCUUCAUCUGUUAUUCCCCCUUUUAGCCUUAGUGGGCUGCUUGGGCCGAUCUUGUGUGUGCUUGUGUGAUGUAUAGAUUAAUUAAAUAAGCAUAUUGAUUCGUGUUCUGGCAACACAGAGCGUGGGGUUUUAAUUAGCCCACGCUUGAGUGUGUUAACAUUCCUGUCUUAUCUGUGUGGAACCAAGUGGAACUGAAUGCAUGAGGGCUGCUCAUCAACUCUGAAUUUCCAAUAACCUUUUUUUUCUUCUUGUUUGGUUAAGUUCGACCCAAAGCUCAAACGUUAAUGUAAGUGUAUGCAACACUUCAAUUUUUAAUGCUCAUUUUUAAGUGCAAAUAUUUUUGUCUAUUUAUACUAUUUUUCUUGAAUACUGUAUUGAAGGAAUGAUAUGUAAAUAGCUUUGCCUCAUAUACACUCACCAGCCACUUUAUUAGAUACACUAGUACAGGGUUGGACCCCCUUUUGUCUU